Molecule: ribosomal RNA, 427 nt
Filed under: uncultured bacterium
Lineage: Bacteria
Description: bacterial SSU rRNA
Rfam family: Bacterial small subunit ribosomal RNA
Source: RNAcentral
UGGGGAAUUUUGGACAAUGGGCGCAAGCCUGAUCCAGCCAUGCCGCGAGAGUGAAGAAGGCCUUCGGGUUGUAAAGCUCUUUCGGACGGGAAGAAAUGGCGGGCUCUAACAUAGCCUGUCGAUGACGGUACCGUAAGAAGAAGCACCGGCUAACUACGUGCCAGCAGCCGCGGUAAUACGUAGGGGGCAAGCGUUGUCCGGAUUUACUGGGUGUAAAGGGCGCGCAGGCGGGAUAAAAAGUCAGUGGUGAAAUCCUACAGCUUAACUGUAGAACUGCCUUUGAUACUUUUAUUCUUGAGUUCGGGAGAGAGAGACGGAAUUCCAGGUGUAGUGGUGAAAUACGUAGAUAUCUGGAAGAACACCAGUUGCGAAGGCGGUCUCUUGGUCCGACACUGACGCUGAGGCGCGAAAGCGUGGGGAGCAAACA